UGCAGUCGAGCGAGGUCUUCGGGUCUAGCGGCGGAGGGGUGAGGAACGCGGGGGAACGUGCCCUUUGCUACGGAAUAGUCCUGGGAAACUGGGGGUAAUACCGUAUACGCCCUUUUGGGGAAAGAUUUAUCGGCGAAGGAUCGGCCCGCGUUGGAUUAGGUAGUUGGUGGGGUAAUGGCCUACCCAGCCGACGAUCCAGAGCUGGUUUGAGAGGAUGAUCAGCCACACUGGGACUGAGACGCGGGCCAGACUCCUACGGGAGGGAGCAAUGGGGAAUCUUACACCAUGGGGGCAACCCUGAUCUAGCCGUGCCGCGUGAGUGAUGAAGGCCUUAGGGUUGUAAAGCUCUUUCAGCUGGGAAGAUAAUGACGGUACCAGCAGAAGAAGCCCCGGCUAACUCCGUGCCAGCAGCCGCGGUAAUACGGAGGGGGCUAGCGUUGUUCGGAAUUACUGGGCGUAAAGAGCUCGUAGGCGGUUUGUCAAAACGUCUGCUGGUGAAAUCCCGAGGCUCAACCUCGCAACGGCCUUGCAGUGGGUAUUGGUAGACUAGAGUGCGAGUAGAGGUGAGAUUGGAAUUCCUGAGUGUAGAGGUGGAAUGCGCAGAUAUCAGGAGGAACACCGAUGGCGAAGGCGGAUCUCUGGGUCGUAACUGACGCUGAGGAGCGAAAGCAUGGGGAGCAAACAGGAUUAGAUACCCUGGUAGUCCAUGCCGUAAACGUUGAGAACUAGAUGUGGGGACCAUUCCACGGUCUCCGUGUCGUAACUAAAGCAUUAAUUUCCCCGGCUGGGGAGUACGGCCGCAAGGCUAAAACUCAAAUGAAUUGACGGGCGCCCGCACAAGCGGAGGGAGCAUGCUGGAUUAAUUCGAUGCAACGCGAAGAACCUUACCAAGGCUUGACAUAUACCAGAACCGGCACUGGAGACCGUGAACUCUUUGGACACUUCGAUGACCAGGUGACAGGUGGUGCAUGGUUGUCCUCAUCUCGUGUCGAGAGAUGUUCGUGUUAASUCCSGCAACGAGCGCAACCCWCGUCCCCGGUUGCCAGCAUUCAGGUGGGCACUCUGUGGAAACUGGCGGUGAUAAACCGGAAGAAGGUGUGGAUGACGUCCAGUCCUCAUGGCCCUUACGGGUUGGGCUACCCACGUGCUACAAUGGGGGUGACAGUGGGUUAAUCCCCAAAAGCCAUCUCAGUUCGCAUUGUCCUCUGCAACUCGAGGGCAUGAAGUUGGAAUCGCUAGUAAUCGCGGAACAGAAUGCCGCGGUGAAUACGUUCCCGGGCCUUGUACACACCGCCCGUCACACCAUGGGAGUUGGGUCUACCCGACGGCCGUGCGCCAACCCGCAAGGAAGGCAGCGGACCACGCUUGGCUCAGCGACUGGGGUGAAGUCGUAACAAGGUAACCGUAAAGUCUCACAGGUAACCCUUAAAU
RNAcentral lists this ribosomal RNA (1431 nucleotides) under Paracoccus sp. zf-IIRlt10. Its description in RNAcentral is "partial 16S ribosomal RNA". It matches the Rfam family "Bacterial small subunit ribosomal RNA". Lineage: Bacteria; Pseudomonadati; Pseudomonadota; Alphaproteobacteria; Rhodobacterales; Paracoccaceae. The record is from RNAcentral.